Molecule: ribosomal RNA, 497 nt
Filed under: uncultured bacterium
Lineage: Bacteria
Description: partial 16S ribosomal RNA
Rfam family: Bacterial small subunit ribosomal RNA
Source: RNAcentral
GAUGAACGCUGGCGGUGUGCCUAACACAUGCAAGUCGAGCGAAAAGACGAGGAGAUCGCGCCCCUGCGGUUAGCGGCGGACGGGUGAGUAAGACGUGGAUAACCUACUUAUAAGACUGGGAUAACUUCGGGGAAACGGAGAUAAUACAGGAUCAUAUAUUGAACGGUAUGGUUCAAUAGUGAAAGAGGGUUUUGCUGAUAGUUAUAGAUGGUUCCGUGUCGGAUUAGCUAGUUGGUAAGGUAACGGCUUAGCAAGGCAACGAUGCGUAGCUGAUCUGAGAGGAUGAUCAGCCACACUGGAACUGAGACACGGUCCAGACUCCUACGGGAGGCAGCAGUGGGGAAUCUUCCACAAUGGGCGCAAGCCUGACGCAGCAACGCCGCGUGAGUGAUGAAGGUCUUCGGAUUGUAAAACUCUUUUAUUGGGGAAGAACAGCAGUAUGUUUAACCAUGCACGUCUUGACGGUACCCAAAGAAAAAGCCACGGCUAACUUCGUG